RNAcentral lists this ribosomal RNA (250 nucleotides) under uncultured bacterium. RNAcentral describes it as "partial 16S ribosomal RNA". It matches the Rfam family "Bacterial small subunit ribosomal RNA", at positions 524 to 773 of the family's 1533-position model. The record is from RNAcentral.
UACGAAGGUCCCAAGCGUUGUUCGGAUUUACUGGGCGUAAAGAGUCUGUAGGCGGUGGGGUAAGUCAGAUGUGAAAUCCCGGGGCUCAACCCCGGAACUGCAUCCGAUACUGCCUUACUUGAGGGUCGGAGGGGAGUCUGGAAUUCUCGGUGUAGCAGUGAAAUGCGUAGAUAUCGAGAGGAACACUAGUGGCGAAGGCGAGACUCUGGACGACAACUGACGCUGAGAGACGAAGGCCAGGGGAGCGAAA